This 468-nucleotide ribosomal RNA is filed under the name uncultured bacterium. RNAcentral describes it as "partial 16S ribosomal RNA". It matches the Rfam family "Bacterial small subunit ribosomal RNA", at positions 28 to 507 of the family's 1533-position model. The record is from RNAcentral.
GACGAACGCUGGCGGCGUGCUUAACACAUGCAAGUCGAACGGAAAGGCUCCAGCUUGCUGGAGUACUCGAGUGGCGAACGGGUGAGUAACACGUGGGUGAUCUGCCCUGCACUUCGGGAUAAGCCUGGGAAACUGGGUCUAAUACCGGGUAGGACCGCACUUUGGUGUGUGUGGUGGAAAGGUUUUUCUGGUGUGGGAUGAGCUCGCGGCCUAUCAGUUUGUUGGUGGGGUAAUGGCCUACCAAGACGGCGACGGGUAGCCGGCCUGAGAGGGUGGACGGUCACAUUGGGACUGAGAUACGGCCCAGACUCCUACGGGAGGCAGCAGUGGGGAAUAUUGCACAAUGGGGGAAACCCUGAUGCAGCGACGCCGCGUGGGGGAUGAAGGCCUUCGGGUUGUAAACUCCUUUCGCUAGGGACGAAGCUUUUUGUGACGGUACCUGGAGAAGAAGCACCGGCUAACUACGUG